RNAcentral lists this ribosomal RNA (406 nucleotides) under uncultured Desulfobulbus sp. Its description in RNAcentral is "bacterial SSU rRNA". It matches the Rfam family "Bacterial small subunit ribosomal RNA", at positions 986 to 1382 of the family's 1533-position model. Lineage: Bacteria; Pseudomonadati; Thermodesulfobacteriota; Desulfobulbia; Desulfobulbales; Desulfobulbaceae. The record is from RNAcentral.
AUGUACGGUGGUACGGAUCUGAAAGGUGAAGGACCCGGUCUUCGGACUGGGAGCGUACACAGGUGCUGCAUGGCUGUCGUCAGCUCGUGUCGUGAGAUGUUGGGUUAAGUCCCGCAACGAGCGCAACCCUUGCCUUUAGUUGCCAGCAGUUCGGCUGGGCACUCUAAAGGGACUGCCGGUGUUAAACCGGAGGAAGGCGGGGAUGACGUCAAGUCCUCAUGGCCUUUAUGACCAGGGCUACACACGUACUACAAUGGCCGAUACAAAGGGCAGCGACACUGCGAGGUGAAGCCAAUCCCGUAAAAUCGGUCUCAGUCCGGAUUGGAGUCUGCAACUCGACUCCAUGAAGUUGGAAUCGCUAGUAAUCGUGGAUCAGCAUGCCACGGUGAAUACGUUCCCGGGCCUU